GACGGAGGAGGCAAGCGUUGUCCGGAAUCAUUGGGCGUAAAGAGCGCGUAGGCGGUUUUUCAAGUCGUAUGUGAAAACUUCAGGCUUAACCUGAUGAUUGCAUAUGAAACUGGAUAACUUGAGUACAGCAGAGGAAAGUGGAAUUCCUGGUGUAGCGGUGAAAUGUGCAGAUAUCAGGAAGAACACCAGUAGCGAAGGCGGCUUUCUGGGCUGUUACUGACGCUGAGGCGCGAAAGCUAGGGGAGCGAACAGG
Molecule: ribosomal RNA, 253 nt
Filed under: uncultured Actinomycetes bacterium
Lineage: Bacteria; Bacillati; Actinomycetota; Actinomycetes
Description: uncultured actinobacterium partial 16S ribosomal RNA
Rfam family: Bacterial small subunit ribosomal RNA
Source: RNAcentral